RNAcentral lists this transfer RNA (68 nucleotides) under Marmota monax (woodchuck). RNAcentral's name for it is "tRNA.Ala". The record is from RNAcentral. Lineage: Eukaryota; Metazoa; Chordata; Mammalia; Rodentia; Sciuridae.
GGAUGUAGCUCAGUUGGUAGAGUGCUUGCCUCGCAUGCACAAAUCCCGGAGUUCAAACCCCAGAACCA